GGGUGUGGCUUAGUGGUAGAGCACUUGCCUAGCAUGUGUAAGGCACUGGGUUUGAUUCUCAGCACCACA
Molecule: transfer RNA, 69 nt
Filed under: Marmota monax (woodchuck)
Lineage: Eukaryota; Metazoa; Chordata; Mammalia; Rodentia; Sciuridae
Description: tRNA.Ala
Source: RNAcentral